UACGGGGGGGGCAAGCGUUGUCCGGAAUUAUUGGGCGUAAAGAGCUCGUAGGCGGUUUGUCGCGUCGGCCGUGAAAACUUGGGGCUUAACCCCAAGCCUGCGGUCGAUACGGGCAGACUUGAGUUCGGCAGGGGAGACUGGAAUUCCUGGUGUAGCGGUGAAAUGCGCAGAUAUCAGGAGGAACACCGGUGGCGAAGGCGGGUCUCUGGGCCGAUACUGACGCUGAGGAGCGAAAGCGUGGGUAGCAAACAGG
RNAcentral lists this ribosomal RNA (253 nucleotides) under uncultured bacterium. RNAcentral's name for it is "partial 16S ribosomal RNA". It matches the Rfam family "Bacterial small subunit ribosomal RNA", at positions 524 to 776 of the family's 1533-position model. The record is from RNAcentral.